UCCCUGAUAGCUCAGCUGGUAAAGAAUCCGCCUGCAAUACGGGAGACCCGGGUUCGAUCCCUAGUCUGGGAA
Molecule: transfer RNA, 72 nt
Organism: Ovis aries (sheep)
Lineage: Eukaryota; Metazoa; Chordata; Mammalia; Artiodactyla; Bovidae
Rfam family: tRNA
About the family: Transfer RNA (tRNA) molecules are approximately 80 nucleotides in length. Their secondary structure includes four short double-helical elements and three loops (D, anti-codon, and T loops).
Source: Rfam